Molecule: ribosomal RNA, 465 nt
Filed under: uncultured bacterium
Lineage: Bacteria
Description: partial 16S ribosomal RNA
Rfam family: Bacterial small subunit ribosomal RNA
Source: RNAcentral
GACGAACGCUGGCGGCGUGCUUAACACAUGCAAGUCGAACGGAAAGGCCCUGCUUGCAGGGUACUCGAGUGGCGAACGGGUGAGUAACACGUGGGGGAUCUGCCCUGCACUUCGGGAUAAGCCUGGGAAACUGGGUCUAAUACCGGAUAGGAGCCAUUUUUAGUGUGAUGGUUGGAAAGUUUUUUCGGUGUAGGAUGAGCUCGCGGCCUAUCAGCUUGUUGGUGGGGUAAUGGCCUACCAAGGCGGCGACGGGUAGCCGGCCUGAGAGGGUGGACGGCCACAUUGGGACUGAGAUACGGCCCAGACUCCUACGGGAGGCAGCAGUGGGGAAUAUUGCACAAUGGGCGCAAGCCUGAUGCAGCGACGCCGCGGGGGGGAUGACGGCCUUCGGGUUGUAAACUCCUUCCGCUAGGGACGAAGCUUUUUGUGACGGUACCUAGAUAAGAAGCACCGGCUAACUACGUG